UACAGAGGGGGCAAGCGUUGUUCGGAAUUACUGGGCGUAAAGGGCGCGUAGGCGGCCUGCUAAGUCGAACGUGAAAUCCCUGGGCUCAACCCAGGAACUGCGUCCGAUACUGGUUGGCUUGAAUCCGGGAGAGGGAUGUGGAAUUCCAGGUGUAGCGGUGAAAUGCGUAGAUAUCAUCAGGAACACCGGAGGCGAAGGCGGCUCACUGGGGGUUAUCUGACGCUGAGGGACGAAAGCCAGGGGAGCGAACGGG
Molecule: ribosomal RNA, 253 nt
Filed under: uncultured bacterium
Lineage: Bacteria
Description: partial 16S ribosomal RNA
Rfam family: Bacterial small subunit ribosomal RNA
Source: RNAcentral